GGAGUCGGCCAGACGAUCGCUGCAUUUCUCACGAGAUGCGGAGGAAAGUCCGGGCUCCUUCGGACACGGCGCCAGGUAACGCCUGGGGGGCGCGAGCCCACGGAAAGUGCAACAGAAAGAUACCGCCGAUGCGCAAACUCCCCUCGCGGGAGGGAUCGCAGGCAAGGGUGAAAUGGUGCGGUAAGAGCGCACCGCGCGGCUGGUAACAGUCGUGGCACGGCAAACCCCGCCGGGAGCAAGGCCAAAUAGGGAAGUCGCAGGGAAACCUGCAGCGCGGUGUCCGAGCG
RNAcentral lists this RNase P RNA (287 nucleotides) under Gammaproteobacteria bacterium. Its description in RNAcentral is "partial RNase P RNA component class A". It matches the Rfam family "Bacterial RNase P class A", at positions 1 to 262 of the family's 367-position model. From Rfam's summary of the family: Ribonuclease P (RNase P) is a ubiquitous endoribonuclease, found in archaea, bacteria and eukarya as well as chloroplasts and mitochondria. Its best characterised activity is the generation of mature 5'-ends of tRNAs by cleaving the 5'-leader elements of precursor-tRNAs. Lineage: Bacteria; Pseudomonadati; Pseudomonadota; Gammaproteobacteria. The record is from RNAcentral.